UACGGGGGGAGCAAGCGUUGUUCGGAUUUACUGGGCGUAAAGGGCGCGUAGGCGGUCGUGACAAGUCACUUGUGAAAUCUCCGGGCUUAACUCGGAACGGUCAAGUGAUACUGUCGGACUAGAGUACAGAAGGGGCAACUGGAAUUCUCGGUGUAGCGGUGAAAUGCGUAGAUAUCGAGAGGAACACCUGCGGCGAAGGCGGCGCUCUGGGCCGGUACUGACGCUGAGGAGCGAAAGCGUGGGGAGCAAACAGG
Molecule: ribosomal RNA, 254 nt
Filed under: uncultured bacterium
Lineage: Bacteria
Description: partial 16S ribosomal RNA
Rfam family: Bacterial small subunit ribosomal RNA
Source: RNAcentral